RNAcentral lists this ribosomal RNA (481 nucleotides) under uncultured bacterium. RNAcentral's name for it is "bacterial SSU rRNA". It matches the Rfam family "Bacterial small subunit ribosomal RNA", at positions 501 to 985 of the family's 1533-position model. The record is from RNAcentral.
CUACGUGCCAGCAGCCGCGGUAAUACGGAAGGUCCAGGCGUUAUCCGGAUUUAUUGGGUUUAAAGGGAGUGUAGGCGGUCUGUUAAGCGUGUUGUGAAAUUUAGGUGCUCAACAUUUAACUUGCAGCGCGAACUGGCGGACUUGAGUGCACGCAACGUAUGCGGAAUUCAUGGUGUAGCGGUGAAAUGCUUAGAUAUCAUGACGAACUCCGAUUGCGAAGGCAGCGUACGGGAGUGUUACUGACGCUUAAGCUCGAAGGUGCGGGUAUCGAACAGGAUUAGAUACCCUGGUAGUCCGCACGGUAAACGAUGGAUGCCCGCUGUUAGCGCCUGGCGUUAGCGGCUAAGCGAAAGCAUUAAGCAUCCCACCUGGGGAGUACGCCGGCAACGGUGAAACUCAAAGGAAUUGACGGGGGCCCGCACAAGCGGAGGAACAUGUGGUUUAAUUCGAUGAUACGCGAGGAACCUUACCCGGGCUUGAA